RNAcentral lists this long non-coding RNA (15830 nucleotides) under Gallus gallus (chicken). Lineage: Eukaryota; Metazoa; Chordata; Aves; Galliformes; Phasianidae. The record is from RNAcentral.
GGAGCCAAACAGAGAGGAAACAGGACAAGAAGGACACACAGGUCCAGAAGAGUGCCACAGAAAUGACCCAAGGGAUGGAACACCUCCCUACAAGGACAAGCUGAGAGAGCUGGGGCUGUUCAGUCUGGAGAAGAGAAGGCUCUGAGGAGACCUAAGGGCAACCUGUCAGUAUCUAAAGGUGGGCUACAAGAAAGAGGGGGACAGACUCUUUAGCGGGGUCUGUUGUGAUAGGAAAAGGGAAAUGGUUUCAAACUAAAAAAGAGGAGGUUUAGGUUGGAUAUAUAUAUAUAUUUUUUACAAUAAGAGCAGUGAAGCACCGGCACAGGUUUUCCAGACAGGUGGUGGAUGCCCCAUCCCUGGAGACAUUCAGAGUCCAUCUGGACAGGGCACUGAGCACCUGAUUGAGCUGUAGGUAUCCAUAGCAAGAGAGUUGGACCAGGCGGCCUUUAAAUCCUACUUCCAGCUCAAGGAAUUCUAUGAUUCUAUGAUUAUUCUCACAGUUUCAGGAACUCUGCCUAUAAGAUGCCUGUGUGCCACCUCAUCUUAUUCUUGCAAUGUGAUCUUCCUGUAUUUUUUACUCAUAACACCUCUCUGCAAGUUUUCAUUAUUUGUUCUUGAGGUAGUACUAAAAAUAUCUCUUUUUUUUCCCCUCUUCCUGAGCACUUUUUUAAAGAGAGCAGUUUUAUUUCUUGCCCUGAACCCAAUCUCGCUGGAGGGGCAGGAAGGAACAUGCUCACCUGUGUGUCCUAUCCCCACUCUCCACUGUCUGCUUUUGUCUCUGGUGCGGUUUCGCUUCUGCUGGAUGACACAUGAAGGCCAUGUGUGGCCCAGCAGACCAUCUGAACACAGAGGUACUUCAGUGGCUCAACUGGGACAUGUCUCUGCACAUCACACAUUCCCUGUUAGGAAUCAGGUCAGUUUGCACCAAACUGGAGAAAAUCCUGAAGUUGCAGAUAGUGCCCUUUGCUACAAGGCUGCCAUCCCUUUUCCCCUUCGAAACAGCUGAAACGUCUGAAAUAGCAGCUGUUGAAUUUAUUUUCCCUUUACACAGCCUCUUUCUAAGGGAAACUGGACUGAUUAGUACCCAUUUGCUGGGUUCUGCUGCAUUAUGACACUAACAUGUGGCAUCAUUUCAAACCAGGUGGGAUUUUCUUUAAAGCAAUCUUUGGUGACAAAAAAAAUAAUAAAAAAUAAGAAAAUGUAGUUUUAGCUAAGCAAAAUGCAUUUUAAUAUGCAUUUCCCACGGCCCUGAUGUGAGAUGUAUCUUCUAAGUGCAGUACAUCACCUCAUGUCAGCAGUUAGACUCGAUGAUCCUUAUGGGUCUCUUCCAACUUGGGAUAUUCUAUGACUCUAUGAUUCUGCUGCUGUGCUCACACACCACAUGCAGCAGCCAUCUGCAGCCUGAGCUUCUCCUCCUGCUCUAUCAUGAUGUCCAUCCGAGCCGGAGCAAUCCCCCAGCCCUACACCUCACAGCCCCAUCACACUGCAUCCCAGUGCACAGCAGUGGAAGGCAAGGGAGGGGCUUCAAAGGCGCUGGUCUCACAAUGGAGUUGGAGUAACUAGCUGCUGACAGAUUUAUAGGCUUCAGUCCAAUUAAAGUGCUGUUUAUUGCUUUUAGAAGGGGCCUGUUUGUUUCUAAUUUUAGAAGUAGGUUGGGGAAGUGACUAGAAUUGUGAGUAAGGGACCUGAGAUUUUUCACUAGGGCUUCUGGUGCUAUUCAUUAAUAGGAGUUGUUGAUAAUUAUUUAGCCUGGGACCUCAACCAACCACGGCAGGGCAGAAAUUCAGGGCAGCACCCAAAAAGCAGCGAAAGGGCUUUCCUUUGCUCCCCCUGCCCUGCUACAUCUGCUGAUUUUGGUGUGUGUUCGACCAGCCACUUUGUAAAGAGCUCCCCUUGUUCCCUAUGCAUCUCUUCCGCUCUCUCAAGUUGAUUCAUUUUAUGUGCUCCUUUUAAAGAGAAUAAAAAGUACGCCGGUGUGAAUGAUUGUUCCUAUCUCUGGCCAGCAGCGAUAGGAACCUUGGGCCAAUUGCCAGAAGGAAGUGGAGAAAUAACAAAUCUUGCCUGCGAGAUGAAAUCAGAGCUGGAAUCGGGAUUCCUGUGUUGUGCCCCUAAGUUUGCGCAGUUUUGCUGUACAGUGGUGGGAAGCCCCUUUGAUGUCAGCUUCCCACUGUCUAGAAAAGCUGCAAUAUAAAGUUAUUGUAAAACUUGGUUAUUUGUUUGUGCGGUACUUUGAGAGCCGCUGGUGAAAGGCGCUGGAUAACUGCGCGGUUCCCUGUGGUUUGUAAAACAUGCGUUGAUCACCAUUUACCAGAAGGCAAUGACAGUGGGUUUUUAACAGAGAGAGGCCCGACCCAGACACAGCACACUCAUGUUUCCAGGUCCUGGGGAAGUUUAUGUCCUGAACGUGCAUCCAAGCCCAGCGCCUGUGCAGAAGGCAGAAGGAAAACCACAUCCCAGUGUGCCAGCCUUGGGAUCGGGAGGUCCCAUCCUCUGCCGUUGGAGUUUGACCUGGAACUGGGGCAUCCCAUAAGAACUCAUCUUAGAUGGAGACAGCCAGAGCCCAGUGAGCCUCACCUUUCCUUCCUCUGCCCUGAGCCAUCUGCAAUAAUCCUUUAGCUGUGGGCCGAAGACAUAAGAAAUAAACUACAAUAAAAAAGAUAAAAGGGAGCAUAAAUUGAUUUCUGUGGUAGCUGAGGCUUGAAGUAUGCCUAAAUAUCACUUAGAUUGCACACUGUUUGGGCCGUGUGCCAUCCUUUUAUUACUUAUCCAUAUACAGGAGAUUUCAUUGAUGAUCUAUUAAAAAUAUAUACCUCUAUUCUGGUUGAAUCUAGAAAUUUUUUAGCUGAAAACAAGAAUAUUUGAGCUGAAACUGCUGUUUUUUGGUGUUUUUUUUUCCCCCAAACUGAAUUUCUUUUCUUUUCAAAAACAAGUAGAGCAAAGUAGGGUGUUUGGUUUUAAGUUCAAUAAAAGCAAUACUUUUCUUCUUCAGGGCAGUUUUUUGCCUAUAGCUAAUUUUUUUUGGCCAUGUCUAACAUACAGCAUCUCCUUAGAAAUCCAUCUUCCGUAAGCAGGAUUAUUACAGAAAAAUAGAAGUGUGUUGGGAUGCCAGGAGGGGAGAAUAUAAUCUCACCUUUUUCUUUUAUCCUAACAGACAGCCUCAGUGGGCUAAUAGCCAAGAGGGUCGAGGUAUUAAAGCACCCUGCACAGACCACAGCAGAUGGAAAAGAUCUGAGUUGGGCAAAAUGAUCGUUGCUGAAAGUUGCACUGUUACGUGAAACCAUUACAGGAGAGCAGAGCACCAGGAAAGGAGCAUCUUGCCUAUUGGACACAUUUUUGUGAUACUACAAAGGAAUUACUUGCGGUGUCAGUGAUGUAGAUUGCUUCUAGCACUCAAGAAAACCUUCCUUCUCAAAUGAGGGUUGGUCCUGUGGGUCACUCUUAGGAGAAUAUCUAAAAUCAGGCUAUUCUGCUGGACUCAGAGCAGCAGUCAGUGCUGUAGUUGGAAGAAGGCUGAGAACAUGUAGGAAUGGAAGCCCCAAGGGGCUUUGGCUGGGCAGCCAAAGGAAACCCAUCCCACUGCUGCCCUGUGCUUUCCAAGUAGUUUGGAAAGAUCUAACAUGAUGGAGCUGCAGAGCACCACCUGAGCUUUUGGUGGAGAAAAAGUCUCUAGGAUCCUCUCACCAGCUGUGAUUCAAAUAGACAGUAGGCAGGAGGAAGGUCAUACACGGGUUUUAUAGGUUUAGGAAUCUUUCAGCAUUAUCAAGCCAACUGCAUUACUUCAUGGAAUGAUUGGUCUUGUAUUCAUCAGAUGAAUGCUAAUAUUCAUAAACUUCUUCCUAGUCACUUUUAUUAUAGAAUAUGAUGAAAAUAAUAAAUACAUCAAAGGAACUUCCAGGACAUCAUUUGGGCUCCACGACUGACUCACUCUGCAACCUUGGGUUCUUAGUAAGACAUCCCAGGACCAUAUCUUUAAUGGAGAAUUAGCCUUCCUGUAGUCUCUGCCUGCCUCAGAACACCAAUGCUGCAAGCUGGGAACUGACAGCUGGAUCUGCAGGACACCAACUGCAUCUCUCUGCUCCUGAGACUUGGGGAGAGCCUUCAGGGCUGUGAUAAAGUAGAUGCAACUGAGGUGACCACCUGAUCUUUAAUCUUCUUGGUGAGUAAUUACCAAACUCAGAACAUCUGCACCAUGCAGGCACCAGUGGCUUUUUGCUGUAACAUCCCUUGGGAUGAGAGAUGAUGGCAUUGAGUUGGUCCAGGAAGGCUCAUAGACCUCAACAGUCUCCUUCAGCAUGACUCUGGGGUAAUGAAGAAACAGAAGUUGUGCAUCAGCAGGCUCCUGCACUGUUUGUCCCAUCUGCAAGCCCAGGCUCCUCCUGUCAUGUCUGGGAUGGCUGCAUCUGUGAAGAGUGCAUGGGACCACAAUCAGCCACGAUUCUCAUGUUGGGAUGCUCACAUUCAAGGUGAAGCUGAGGCCUGCAGGAAAUGGUAAUAAUGUGAGAUUCCAGCUGGAAGAAGCUUUCUUGCAGGUGAGUCUGGCAAGAGGCUCAGCGAGCAGCUGGAAGGAGACCAAGAGGAAAAGCAGAAGUGGGCAGGCUCCUGGAAGGCUGGGAAAGGUGGGCAUGUCACAUCACUUGCUAAGAGAGCCCCAGAGUGCUCUGAGAGUUGUGAAAAAAGAUAGAGACAGUUUUAGUCCAAAAUGUGUUCUAAAAAACAGCUAAUAUCAACUAGUUUUCAGCUGGUUCUGUCUGAGAAAAGAAAAAUUUAGAAGCCUAACUAAUCCAUAGCACUAAGAUUCUUACCUAACCUUUAAUUUCUUAAAAAUAACAGCAGGAAAUUAAUGGGAAAAUGUUAUUUUGCUGGUCAGAUAGAAGCAGAAGCAAGUAAAUUUUCUGCUGUGCUUGACUUCAGUGUUGGUUCAUCCAGUGCCACAGCCUCUGAGAAAGGAACUGAAAAAGAAUCUGACUACUUAGAAUCACAAUAGUGUUGAUGGACAUGUUCAUCUGUCAUAUUAAGGCUCCUCAUCAUCCCACAUUCAAUUCUUGGCCAGAUCCAGCAAAGGACAGAGGCAUCUGUGAGAAGAAUUUCAAUAGAAUUCCAGAGAAUUACAAUGGAAUUACACAACAGCACGGAAAAUUUAUUUCUUGUUGACAUGAAGAGUCUGUUUUUUGUUUUCCCACACUGCUGGAGGAUGGUAGCAGAAACAUUAAUGGAUGUGGAUCAGCAACAUCGCUCACAGACUGGGAGAGGAGGAAGAAUAUCCUGCCCUUUACCACUGAAGCUUAAUACCAACUUACAGACCAAUCCAUGGCACUCAUAUUCCUGUCAGCAGAUGUGGAUUUUCCAGCAGCAAAUAAGCCACUAAUGGUACAAAGUCUUUCUCAACAUGGUGUAACACUUGACCAACCCAGGCCAAAAAAUGAAGUCAACUCAUGCAUGUUACUGUAUCACAUCAGGCCAAAGAGCUUUGUCCUUCUGUCACCUAGCAAGGACUGUGUAUGGGGGACUCUUGUGUGUAUGUGUUACAAACCACUGCUGGUCACAUUAACAGAAUAAGAAACCAGAAACAUAAUGGAGGUCAAGUAUGAAGUGUUGUGAGCCUCCAAAUGUAGAGGUCAGGCAUACAAUGAAAACAACAAAACAAAAUUGUAAUGCUAGUUGCAAGCUGCGUGGAUAAUCAAUACCAGAAUGUGAUUCCUUUUAAUCAGGGGUUAUUUUAGAUGGCAUCAGAGGGGAAAAAAAAAAUUAAGUCUAAAUUUGCUAAUUGGGAAGUUGAAAUCCAUGGCUGACAGCAGGCUCCCAGGAAAGAAGUAGGUUGCAUGCAGUAAGAGUAGUGUUCAGCAACAAGGUCACAGCAGUUAGAUCACCAGUGAGAUAGAAGUCCACACUAAGGUAAUUCUUGUGAAUUCUUUUAUAUGCUCGAAGCAGAACAAGGAUAUUGAAGUGUCCUAUCUGGAGGAUUCUCUCCGUGGCACAGCACUCAUAAAUGAAAGCUCUCUGAUCUCAGCCUCUGAAUUGAACCAACAGCUAUCCUAGGCCUAGUAAGAUGGAAAGGCAGCUAUUUCCCAGAACUUGAAUGAUAUCCCCCUCAAAAAGUAUUUGAGCAACUGUUCUUUUGCAUUAAACUGUCCUCAGCUGAGGUGAGGUGGGUUAUUGUCAUAGUAGUGUGUGUGUGUGUGUGUAUUUUUUUUACCUAAGUUUUUUGAUGUCUCUGAGUUGCCUCUUGCCUCAGCACAUCCUUUGCAGCAGGCAGGGUGCUGGGUGAGCCAUUGGGCUGCAGUGUUCAGUCAUGCUGUUUUUCUCUACUCGCUGUGGAUGCUGUCAGUUGGCACGUGGAGGCUCUCUGUUGAUGAAUGAGUGCUGUGAAGCAGAUGGGAUGGAAACAGAGAUGUUAUUGACAUUCAGUCAGACCCCAGUGAGCAGCUUUUUGGCACCAAUGGGCUGAGACAUGCCCACUUUUUAAAAGCUGGUCUUUUUUCAUUGACAUGACCCCGUGUGACAGCUCCCUCUCCUGAGAUUUCUUCUGAUUUGAUUUAUGGAGUCUGAAUUUCAGCUGCAUGCUACUUGGGGCACAGACCGAUGUGAUGCUCCAUGUGAGGUGCCCAGACAAAACAACAGAUUUAAAAUGUCAUCCAGCAGCCCCAGAAAGACUUGUCAGAGCUGGAGGGGACAGAUUCAUUGCUUGCAGGCAAGGGGAAAUGAGGAAAUGCAGGAGUUGUGCUGUAGGAAAAUCUCCCCCUAAACUGCUUUCUCCCAUGUACGAUUGCCUAUGCUGAGCCUAUUCAAGGAGUCUUUGGGAAAUACCUAAGAGGAUUUUUCCUUUCAGAUUAAGUGAUUUCUGGAUGAUUUUACCCACAGCACAUCAGCAGGGGGUGAGUUUAGCUGCACUUUGCCUGCACCAGUGAAAGAGAGGCUCAUUCUUUUGAAAAUCAUCCACUAAAUUAAUGAAGACGUGAAUGUACAUUAGGCUGAACCUAUUUAGCUUAUUAAAGGCUCCUCUCUCAGAUCAUUUCCUUCUGUGUGUCUUUACAUCGCAGGCUCUUCUGUUUGUAAUUUCCAAAGUUAGGGAGGAAAAAAAAAAAGAUUGUAUUUUUUAAGAGGUUAUUCUCAGCUUUCAGCAGUCAGAAACUGUAUGUACAGUAGUCAGCCUGAAAUCCCAUAGGAAGAUGGAAGACCUCGCUGUGCUCAGUUAAUGCAGUAAUGAUGACUGUUGCUCUCUGCUCAAACAUAACUUGAGGUGAGUGCCACGAUUAACAAGGAGUAAGAACCUAAAUGAAAUGUCAAUUUCUGUUUUGUUGUGUUGAAUGAAUUACCAGGACCUUCAUGAUCUGAAACUUUGGCUAGGAUCAUUCUGCUCUCCUGGGGAAAAUAAAAUGUUUGGUCAGUGCCAGUUCCUUUGACUCCCAUUGUUUUCACUGGCUUUGGGAACAGAUCCUUAUUUUUGCUUUAAUUCUCUUUUUCACCCUUAUAGCUAAUGAAUAGAGUGAUGCAAGAAAUCUGCAAGGCAGUAUUGAAGGGAUGCUGCACUGAAGGAAAACAAGGAAGCUACUAAGAUUACAAGAAACUCAUUUUUUGAGGAUGGAAUGGGAAAAUAUUCUAUGAGAAUGUUGUCUUUGUGAAAGCUAAUUUGAGUGAUCUGGGUAUGGGAAGCUGAGGGUGGGGAGGUAGCGUGGGCCAUGAGUGCUCUUUUUCUUCACCUAUCUAUAGAUACUCACCUUUUCUGCUGCUACAGGGCUGAGAUUCCCAAGUACUUUCAUCAAGAUUUUGUGCUGCUCAAACCUAUUGCUCUGGUCAGAAAGACAAUGGCUCCUUCACUGCAGAGCCCAGAACUCCACUUAAGAUAUCAUGAUAUAUCGUUUAUGAAUCUGUAGAUAGCCCAGGAAUUAGGCCCCUUCCAACUGUUCCCAUUGACGUGAUGACAAAGUAUGACGUUCUUUUGCAUUCCUUAAGUACCUGCUGUACAUUUGUUGAGUAGAAUUAAAAAAGAGCUCUCCAGGCCUAUACGUGAUGAUGGGUGUCAAACAGCCUUGCUAGCACCCUGACUACCUGCAGUGUGGAGAAGUGGGAGCCUUCCUAAUUCUGCUCCCAGCUCCUCGCCUGCAGCAGCCCAUAUGGAACAGGAGAGCCAGGAGCUGGGCGCCUACUGCAGCUGCAGAGAAAGGCCUUUGCCUGCUCUGGAUGUCAUCUACAGUAUUUUGUAUUAAGGGAUCUUGCUUUGAUAACUUUUUACUUGUUUUUCCAUUUUUUUUUCUUUUUUUUUUCUCCCCAGCUACACUUCUGUCAAAUCCCAGUUUCCAUAUGAGGGUUUGCACCAAGUUGAGUGAAAGCACUAAGAUAAUCUAUUUGUAACAAAAUACUUUUCCUUUGCUUAAUAAACUUAGUGCUUCCCUGUAAAAACAAGCUCUUUAAUUACUCAGGUGUGGCUACUCACCGUAUUAAAUCACCACACUACCUCCUUAGCGUAGUAAUACAGUUCUUUACAAUUUCAUUUUAGAAUCACUCUUCUGUUGCUGACAUUUAAUUUUGCACAGGAGUAACACUAUCGUAAAAGAGCCCAGGUGCAAAAAUAUUAUGUUUUUAGCAUUGAUGUACUGUGCAUUACUAUUAAAAACUAGAAAAACUAUCAGUGCUGCUCCAUAUCAACUGGGAUUACUUAGCUUAAAUGUUUAAGAGGAACCAUUUAAGAGCUCUGUUGCAGUACAGGUGUCUGUGCACCUCUUCUACACCUGGCCAUUUGAUGAUACACUUUCAUAUGUGAGAUUUCAAACUUUCUCACAGGUAAAUAUAUAUUUUUUAAUGUUUCUGCUCAAAGUUGCAAACAAAGUUUUUUCAGUAGGGAAGAGGAAGAAUGAGUUGCAUGUUGAGUGAAUGCUAUUUUGUCAGGUUUGUAUCCAUAGUUUUUGGAUGAUGUUUUGGCUUCCUUAGGCUCUUCUAACAGUAGCAAUUACAACUGCAGUGGCUUGCAGUUCUUCUGUCUUCGUUUCUUGUGGUAGUGACUCUUUAUAAUAGAACUAGAAAGACCUUGAGUUUAACUGAAACCUGCAGCAAGAUGUGCUAGAAUUAAUCUUUCCAACCUUUGACAGUACAGUUUAAUAAUCAAGUAACCAGUAGCUAAGUGGUUAGGCAUAUACUUUCACACAUGGAGAAACCAUAACCUCCAGAGAAUGGUUCGUGUCAUUCUGAUGUAGAUUUUUUUAUAGAGUAGAAAACACCUUCAAUAAGGCUGCAAUGGGAGCACUGCGCUGCCAUACAACCAAAGCUCCAUUCCUCAGGCAGAAAAGUUGGAGAUAAAGAGGAGAAGCAGCAGUUUUCUGUCCUUUGCCAUUUGUCCAGAGCUCUGUUGCUUCCAGGUUUCUCUUUCAUCUCUUUUCUGUUGGCCUUGUAGCACAUCUGGAUCUCUGAGAUUUCUCUUCAUGUAAAUAUUGCCCUUAUUUUUUUCUCCUCGAUUUCUCUCAGAAAGUUUCUGCAUGUUCUUAUCUGCAGCUCCAAUCUCUGUUUGCUGCUCUUACUCUUGAGCUGCAAGUGGUUUGCAUGGUGGUUUCUCCUGUUGUGUUUUUAUCGGGCAUCCUCCAGUAACAAUCCUGCAUUCACCCUGUUUUGCCCAAGGUUCUGUUUACCUUCUCUAUCUGCUCUGGUCCUCAUGUUUUAAGGCUGUUGGAUUUCUCAUAAUUGCAAGGUUUGGGCCUCUUUCAAAUGAUUGGUUUUUUAUCUAACCGAGUGUACAUUUCUCUUUCCUCCUUUCAUUGGACUGUUCAUUUUUAAAACUCUUUUAAUCAAAUGAAAGGAAUUAAAAAUGAGGAGGGAAAACCCAAGAAUUUAAAUUCCAGUCUUUUUUUCUACCACAAAGAACCAAGAAUUCUUUCUAUUUAAGACAGUCACAGAUUUUUAUCAUUGUGACUGGUUUGCAUUAACUUUGUAAGUAGAAAGACAUUUAGCAAAGUUGAAAGCUGUCUCUUAUGUGAUGACAGACUUUGCCUGUUUUAGUAUUUUUACUGGUUAACUACCAAAUCCUGAGUCUACUGCUGUCUAUGGCCAACAUUUAGUGUUCACUAAAAGAAACAUGACUUAGAAAUAUAUCUUCCACACUAAGCUUUUGAAAACACACAGUAUUUUGAGUUAUAGAAACAACAGUUUUAAUACAUGAAAAGAUCUGUUACCACAAGGCCUUGAGAGAAAGAAACAGCAGAAAAGCGUGCAAAGGGUCAGGAAGAAAGCAUGAUAUGUAGUCAGCUGCUUCAUCUAUAUACAAGACAACCUAAUUAGUACUCAUGCAUGCAACUAAAGCAUCAUGAACUGGUUAUAUGGAUCAACAAACUGGUUAAACUAACAAUGGCACUAUGUUGGGAUGCAGUAACACCAAGUGGGAUUUUGUUUCUGGAAGUCAGGGCUCAGUUGAUGCCUGUUGAAACCCUAUAGGGUUUGCCAUCACUGCAGCACCAUAGCCUAUUUAGCAUUCAACAAAAGUCUCAGCUGGACUUUCCCAUUUCAAGUCACACAAGUCAGGUUUGGGUAGAUGACUGAGGGGAGAGAAAAGCUCCUCCAGUGUUCCAAUUCUUAUCUGUCUGGAUUUUUCUUUUUGCAGUUUCUUGGGAGGGGUUUUCUAAUACAAAAGUUCUCUGAUGUCCUUCUACGCUGCUGCUUCCUUUUUUACCUGACCUUGUAGGAUCAUCGAAUGUCCUGAGCUGGAAGGGACCCACAGUGAUCUUUGGGUCCAACUCCUGGCUCCACCCAGGACUGACCAAACAUCAGACCAUAUGACAGAGCUUCUUGAUGCUUCUUGAACUCCAGCAGCUUGAUGGCAUGGCUGCUGCCCCAGAGAGCCUGUUCCCAGAAAGGCUCCAAUAUUAAAGUUGAAAACACUUAUAGUGGGGCCCAUAGAUCAAACUCUAUUAAAUUCCAAAGGAACCUCAUUCACUGGAGUAGCUGUCUUAGAAGGCAACACAGGGUCUUACCUUGAGUUGUACCUCAUAUUCACUCUUGAGACUUUCCAAAGUCACCUGGAAGGCUGGGGACCUGCUGGUAGGCACCAAGCACAUCCUCAGGCUGCUGCUCACCAUCUUGGGCUGCCCUUGAGGCUCUGGGCUGAGGACUCUAAGAUGGGUUGGUCAAACCUAAUGUUAUUCAACCUCUCCUGCUCUAUAAGACCGCAACUUUGGCUUUCAGUCUUCUCUCUUGCUUCUACUCAGAUACAACUGUUACUAAUUGCACUCUUAGUUUAUUGUUGGAGAAAGCUUUCCCUAUUUAAUCGUUAGAAACAGGGAAUCUGUAAUGUAUUCAAAACUGCGAAAACUUAAUCCUGGUUAAUUUUUUACUCUCUGAGAAAAGUCAUUAUGACUGAUCUAUUCUUUCAAUCAAGUACACCCAUUUCGUUUAUUUUUAACAUUCCUUUCAUUAUGUUAUGAGCUUCUUAAGGAUAAUGGAAUAAUUGCUUGUCUCUUUGAUUGAUCUUUGUUUUGAAUGGAAACUUUAAUAGUGUUAUUUCUAGAGCAGGCUUACGGUAUAAUACAAUUAAAGGAAUACAUGACACUAAAACACUUUAAAGCACAUGUUCCAAUAAUUAGACCUACAAUCCUCGUCAGCCAGAGGACCAGGCAGGGAGGAGUUCCUGUUACAAAUUAUGAGGAAAGGAUUCGUGUUAUUUUGCUUAAUAAAGCAAAAAAAAUUAGUAAUGACAUUUAUUAAUAGCUGUAGCGAUCUGUGAACAAACUCCUUCUCCAGGCUGCUCUGGAAAGGCAUUCUCAUGCUACAGAGAAUCCCAAAUUCUGGUAUUUUACUUUUUAACACUAAAACAUGCCAGAAGUAUGGUAACUUGGGUUCUAAGUUCAUCCUGCGUGAAAGAUUUUGAGGUUCCUCACAUCUGAAAAUAUACAGUCCUCCUGGAUCUCCUUCUGCUGAAGACCCCUUCCAGCUGUUCCCUGACCUCUCAGCACCCCUGGUUCCCUGUCAUCAGGACCAGCACCUGGCCAAGAGCAUGGCUUCCUCUGCACUGCCUGAGUGCAAAGUGGAAGCUGACAAACUGCACAGAUUUGCAGGAAAAUUCCGGAGUGCUCCGAAAGUGAUGCCUCCUAUUUUAUUAUGUUGGCCCAUGAUAUCAGAGGCAGAUGACGGCAGUACAGCAGAGAAGGCUGAACCUCCCCAUCAAUAUUAAUUACAUUUUGUUGCUGUGUGAUGGCAGCAGAGGGCAGUCUGUCACAAUGACAUCUGACAUGUAGAAUCAUCUCACGGCAGGAGCCAUGUCCCCGUGCUGGACUCCCUCAUUUUGUAGAUGAUUUUGGUUUUAAAUUUUGGUUUUUUGGGAGAUUUUUUUAACCUGAAUUCCCAAUGACAAGACUGAGAUCCCAGGUAAUCACAUUAUUCAGUUUGUCUUGGUUUGUUUCAUUUUGGUUUUGCCCAGUUGCAAUUGUACUCGAUUUAAAUACUUGGGCUUUGGUAGAGAAGGAUAGAAGGGUGGAAUUUUUUUACUUCUUUGAAUUCUAAGCUCAAUCAUUUUUUCCUUAUUCAAGAUCAGGGCAUUAGGAAAUACUACUUCUCUGAAAGGGUGGUCAGGCACUGGAAUGGGCUGCCCAGAGAGGUGGUGGAGUCACCGACCCUGGUGGUGUUCAAAGAGCGUUUGGAUAUUGUGUUGAGGGACAUGGUUUAGUGGGAACCAUUGGUGAAGGGCGAAUGGUUGGACUGGAUGAUCCUGUGGGUCUUUUCCAACCUUAGCGAUUCUAUGAUUCUAUGAUCAGUGAGAUCACUUAGAGGCUCAUCAGCUUCAUUGGACUUCGCUGGGAACACAGCCUGUCUUCUGACAUGGAGGAAGGGAGAAGCAAGCUGGGGUGCUUGGGAUGCUCUGUGAGGAAGGAAAGGCAUUGUGGUGGCUCUUUCCAGGUGCUGAGUUUGUUUCCCAAGGAACCGAGCUGGAUCACCCAAUAGCUGCUACAUGGCAAAAUCAUUCAUUUUUAAUUCUAUGUGAUACCAGCAUCGUUAUAUUGUGUAUAGCCCAAUCCCCAGAUGGAAUGCAAUCAUGUUGUAGCUCAUUUUUAUAUCAGAUGAGGAUUCACUAGAGAUAAGACUCUUUAGCAUCCACCCACACGUGGUACUAACAGCGAGGAACCUGUUUCACAAUGUCUUACAGCAUGGUGCAGUAACUUGAGAAGAACAGUGAACUUAAGUGAACCUUGAGAACCUAGGUGAACAGGGGAGAUCUAGUUAAUACUCUGUACUUUUCCAAGCUGGAAUUAUGGCUUUUAACAUCUCUGUUCUUGAGAGGCUGGGCAGCUGGCUGAAGCUGGCCAGCAUUACUUUUGAAGUAUGGAUCUUCUAUUCCUAUCAGACAAGUCAAGGCUACAGGCACAUCUAACAAGCAACUCAAGCCUGGAACUAUCUGGAUUUCUAAGUUCAUGAUGGAAAAGGGUAUUGUCCUUGUUUUUCAGGAUGCUUAUAAGCCUACGUUAGUAAACACAGAUGAUGGCAAUUAAGGCUUUGGGAGAAUCUUGGCAUGUUGGAACUGACCGCUUUUCUGAUUGAGAACUGAGAUAGUGGGAGAACCCUUUAUCCCCUGGUUGAGUAAGAACAUCUUGAAUCUGUUUAUGUGUGUAUGAAAAAAAUUAAUUAAACCUCUACGGGCCGGAUUCCUCAAGGAUGAUAAAUGCUCAGCUGGCUUUAGGAUCCUGCACAAAAGUAUGAGUUAACCUGGUGAGCUUUUGGAUUUCAGAUGAAACUGAGGGGCAAGGCUAUGCGGCACACACAGUGAAACGUCACCACUAGGAGGUCACAUUCUUUCCAUGUACAGAGCUGGCGAAAGCACCCAGUUGGGUGCUUUCUGCUUUGUGUUAUUAAUAAAUUCAACAAAUGUUACCCCUCUUGUGCACUGAUUUGAUGUCCCAGCACUCACCCAUCCACGUUCCCUGGAGAAUGGGAGCUGAGGAAGGACCCUCAGCUUAAUGGAGACACAGUGUUGUUCAAGUUUUGAGUUGCUUGAAUGAUUUGUGUUUUCUCUCUCAUCGCACCAUUCCCUAUAGAGCAAGAUGCUGAUGAUAGUUAUUUCCUAGAGGCAGGAUUCAAAUGCCUUUCCCCAGGGAGAGCUGAACCUGCAUCUCCCACAUCUUGGCUGAGUGCCUUAAGUACUUGGUAAAAGAUCUGGAUAUCCUCUUCAGUGCUGUAAACCUGGGCCAAAAAUAGUUUUCAGCUGCAACUACAUGACUAAUUUGACCUGAGACUACUUUUGUGGGGCAAAUGUUUUAUUCACAGAAGAAAAAUACUUGCCCUCCCCUAUGAAGAAGAUAGAAGGGAGAAAGCUGUGCGACAGGAAAUGAGUCAUAAGAUCUUAUAGACAACGUUAGGACUUGACACUAAUACACAGCACCUUUUCCCAAGCUACAGUUGAAAAACUCAGAGUUCUCCUCCCCAUCUCCUCUCACACAUAACUACGUCGAUGCUUACAUGUUGGUUUUCAGGAUAUCUCAAAGUCAUUACCAUACUUCCGGAAAACAAAGUGAGGUAAUGAUUAUGUACAUUUUAUAGCUGCAAACCCAGAGAGACGGUGCAGGUACAUGUCUGAAAUACACAAUGUCCUUCCAAAAAAAACCAUCACCAAAAUAUGUAAAAUAUUUUGCUUCCUACUCCUAUGUAUCACAACAACAGCUUAUGGGUGGUGUGGGGGUUGGGAAAGAGGAACAGAGCUUAAACUACCACUUUGGAACACCAAUUUCUCAGUUUGUUUCUGCUACAUCGAUGCAUUCAUAGUUUCACAUCACGAGCUGAGAAGUUUGCAAAGCACUUUGUUCUGUGCUGCUUCGGUGGGUGGAAGUACUGGUUCUAGGUUUUAAAAGGCAUUUCAAGUUAGGCUCCAGACAUGAAUAAAUAAUCCAAUUUUCACAUUUGCUAUUCAGCAGCUUCUCAUAGCAUAUGUAGUUGCAGCUGCAGGGCCAACAUUUUUGUAAGUCAGGAUACUUACUCAGGGACUUGAAUGCAGGCUUGAGAUGAGGAUUUGCAAAGGGAGCUAGGUGCCCAGUUUCUAUUGAGAAAAGAUUUAGGGGCUUCACGAGCAUAACUUAUAGGUGUCCAUUAGGAAAAUCUCAGCUUUGCUGUAAAUGCCUCUGGAUUCCUUAGAUUUCAUUCAUUUGGCAGCCAGGCACCUAGCUCUUUUGUACAAUCUGAAAGAAAUUUGCAGAGUUCUGUAUAACUUCUGUAGUCUUUCUCUGGAAAAUGAAUAAAUCAUUCAAAUGGAAAUACUGAAAUAGCUGGGCACGUAUCCAGAUACAGUAUGCCUAGCUUAGUGGCAAAAACUUACGGCACACAUCCUGUAUUGUCAAGGACACUGAAUGUUUUGGCUGCCCUAAUAGAAAAACAAUAAUUCAAUCAUGUAUUAUAAAGGAAUUUCCUGGAGACGUUUGGCUUUGCUCAAUCACCCUACUAGAUUUGUUCUUAAUGUGGAAGAAUGGCCCGUUACAUUCAUUACAUACAUUAGACCGGCUAUGUUUAUUUCUAGAUGGGUUUCCUUAAGGUUGUUGAAGUGCCUAACAAAUACAUUCUGAAGAUGCCUUUAUACGUAAUAACAACAGCACUGCCUUGCACCACUGCAUGCUCAGUAAUUGUUUCUCACAGUGGAGGGGCACAUCUAACACAACUAGCUGUGAGUACUUCAUAAAUCAACAAUAACAGACCCACGGGGCGAGGAUCAUUGUUUCGUUUUGCUGACAGGGACCCACAAUACAUUGGAUAUUACGCAGAGACAAGAGAGGAUGUGUGAGAAGAUAGUUAUGCUAAUAGACACUACUUCCCCCCUUCCCCUCUGGAAGGGAACAUUCCCUUAACAUUACACAAGUCGAUGUGUCCUCAGCUGUUCC